This 17383-nucleotide long non-coding RNA is filed under the name Ooceraea biroi (clonal raider ant). Its description in RNAcentral is "uncharacterized LOC105276135". Lineage: Eukaryota; Metazoa; Arthropoda; Insecta; Hymenoptera; Formicidae. The record is from RNAcentral.
CACGAAGAAAAUAGAAAAAUUAAGGCGACCAUCGUUACUGAUUCACACCGUUUAGUUCAGUACCAAUUUGAUAUUUUGUCUAAUUCAUGAAUAGAAAAGUAUCGAUAUUUCUUUUUAUAGACAAUAACGAUCUUCUCUUCAUUUGUUUUACUACGUGCCCAUUUAGUUACAGUGAAAUAAAGUUUCAGUUUAGCAAAAGUGUCAAAUGCCGCACAAGGCAAAUUCUAAAGCUCCUCUUAGAACUGAAGAGACUCGAGUAUCCCGGGACGGUGUCACCAGGGGCGUCGUCAAUCUGUUAACAAUGCUUUGAGCGGAGAAUAUGAUAGUCAUGUACGUCCCCAGCAAAUAUGCUCAGAAGGCUCAGAAUACUGGACAAGGUCGGGCGCGAGAGAGGAGGGUAACUCAAGGGUUUCGUCCCUCGAAGCCGCAGACCUCUCGCGCCGAGAACAAGACAUCGGAUUACGACGGAAUACAAGGCAAACGAGCGUUCACGCUUCGCCGAAAAGUCAAUUUUCACAGCUGUUCGCGCCGCAUUUCCUGCGCGCUCCAUUUAACGACUUUGGGCUACCCGAAAAUCCGUGCGGGUCUCCGAGGGGACCGUUUAAAGACUCCAUUAAGCCGCACACAUGGUAUUGCAAUUGUAAGGGGCUACGUGAUAAAGCGAUACGAGCGGACACCAUAAAAUUGAAUAUGGAAGAGAGGAGACACAUACACUACAAUUACAUCCUGAUUGUAGAUAUAAAACGCAAAUGGUACAUUGAAAAAAUUCAGCAUAUAACAAUUAGAAAAAAUUUAAACUCUCUAGUGAAUCAUAAUAAUUCUAUGAUUCAUAUCGAUAACUUGAAAGGGGAGAAAAGUAUGAAAUUCAUGAAAAUUUCGUAGAAUACUCGCACUCGCUGAUCUGGAAAAAUGACAUAUACUGUGCGGAUCGUAUAUCCACCACGAUCGCAGCUGUGUUCUAUAAAUAUUUCGCGGAUUUUAACGUCGUGCGGGACCAGCCACUCGCCUGUUAACUGCUUGUUUUCGUUCGAACAGCGGAUCACUCACGUAACAGAAGUACGCAAAUUCAUCUUCGGUUUCAUUUUUUUUUUCAUUUUCUGUUUGCGUUUCCUUCUGCUUCGCGAUAAAAAUAGAAUUACCACCGAUAUUUUAUUUUAGCAGUAAUGAGACCUGAAAGAAAAAUCAUUGAUAUUACAGGUAUCGAUUGCAGGUCACAUUCGGCGAAAACACGAUGGGACUGACAUUUGCCGACAUUUUGCGCAGAAACGACGAGCCGUUAAAGUGCAGUGUGCAUCGUGGGACAGCGUACUACUCAACUUUUAGCAGCAUUCGGCUUCUACAUUAAUGUCGUAAGGGCAAUGACGACGUAUGACUUGAAGAGGACGCACAACGCGCAAAAGUUUAGAUACGCGAACCUGGAAUUAAUGACUUCCGGAUGUUUCUUUAAUGACUAAUAGUCUCGUUUCGUUCAUUUCAUUUGCUUACGUAAAACCCCAUCUCGCGAUAGAUCAAGAUUUUAGUCACUGAAUUGCUUUGUGUCACACUGUGUGCCUUGGACUUUUUUUUAUUCAAGUGAAAUUUCAUCUGCUUUUAGCAAUUUUAUUUGCUUAAUUUAACGAAUAAGCGUAAGGAGAGACCGAUUCUCUUAUGUGAGAAGAAACACGACGAAAGCAAAUGGUAUGUCGAUUCGCUUGGGACAAGAAAGUGCUUGCCGCAUAACAAUAACGUGUAUACCGCUAGGAGCGGCACCGUGACACAGAAACGGUCAGCACCACGUUUCUUCCUGGUCGUAACUCGUAUUUCCAGCACCGGAAACACAACGUCGAAACGAAACGACGUUGGAACGCUGGAUGAUGUGCUUUCAUGUAAGAAAGCAAAACGUUGAGGAAGAAAAACGUUGAAAAUGAAUAAUUAAAAGUAUGCUCCUAAUUUUCUACAGAGUAAGGAACAUUUUGCAACAUUUUGCAGUGUUCGAAUGAUUUGUGAAACAUAAUUUAAUGCAAAUAAUAACAUGGACAUAAAGAUAUAUUUAUUUCCAAUUGCAUUUAAAUUUCUCAUCAAUAUCUUUGAAGAACGACCAAGAGGAAAGGUGGGAGGUUCACGUGCGACUAUGGGGAGCCAUAAAAUCAAGGCUCGCCGAGCGCAAAUUAGACUUGUUCGAUUUGCGUUCGCGAAAUACUCCUGCGGCACGUCCCGGUAGCAACGACCGCGAUAUUUGCACAUAGCAUCUAUUUAUACCCACACAGGGUACGGAGGAGCUCGUACACGCGACACUAGCAGCUUCAUCCCAACACGUGAAAUUAGUCUCUGGUACAAAACAGAACCCGUCUGCGUUCGUUACGUCGUCAAAGAGGUGCAGGAAACACGCACUGGCAGGAAGCGAAAUAAUCGCCAGCGGAACAAACUACUGUUUCCUGACUUCCGGAUAUUUUCCUAAUAUUGUUAUCUAAUCGCGAAAAUAUAAUAUUUAAUAAUAAUAAUAAUAAUAAAUAAAAUGAUAAAAUAUAAUACUCAUUAGGAUAUACUUGGUACGGUUUCACAUAAAACAAAUAAUCCUACUUCUGUGUUGAUUCGAGUUGUUUCUAGCUGCUUGAAAUGACUCUUCAUGAUAAGGGAAACUUUCAAGUGUUUUGCGACAAUAACGGAAACGUUUACGGCAUUCGUGUAGUCUCGUUAACGCAUGGCCGCCAUAGGGGAAGAGAAAUCUUCAAGAGAGAAAGAGAAAGAGAAAGUUAAAUCCUCGGUAGCGGUAUUGCGAAACGCGCGCAUCCGCUAUACGUGUAAACGACGAAAGGCUUACGGGGCACGUGCGGCCUGUGUAAACUCUAGAGAAGCGUUUACAAACGCUGCCCAGAGUAAAGAGGGUGAGGUUUAAUAAGGGAACAAAGCAGGGUACGCACGUGGCGGCGCGUACAACAUCCCCUUUCCAUCUCACAGCGACAAACGUUAGGCGGAAGUCGAGAUGUAAAGCUAUGCAUGAUAAUGAGGCGUUUGUAAUCCGCAUAUUAUGCACCAAGGCCUUUCUCUUUCUCGUAUGGAUUCCAGCGCGGAAAACGAAGAGUUUUCACGACUCUCCUUGCAUCCCGCAUGAAGAAACGCGAGUUAUUCAAGGCUAAAAGGGGGUUGGGGACACGUGCUAUCGAGCCUGUUAAACUCGAGGGGACAUGCUUCCUCUCAGGGGUGAAUCGAGCCGUGAAAAUGCGCGGAGAUUUUUAAAACAGCAUGAUUUAAUAGAGGCGCCGCGUAUAUAAAAGAGACAUCCUGCUCCGUUGUUUUUUUGAUGGUGUUAAUCAAUAACUUGUUGAGAUAUAUGAUGAUGAUUGGCGCUCGUGAUAUUAUGUGAUAUUACGUGGUAAGUACCGCGUAAUCUUAUCUCUUGCGGUGCUUUUUAAAUCUUCGCAUCUCACGCGAUGUUGCUAAAUAUACCUACACAUGUAUUAAACAGAUAACGAUGUAUAAAAUAUUCAAGAAUAAAGUACAUAUGCGAGAAGGAAAUUAACAUUUUUCUUUAUUUAAUCUGUUACUUUUCUUAUAAGCAUCUUGAGAAGGUAAAGAAAGUAAUAAAUCCGAGUCUGAGUCGCACCCAAACGAAGGCGGUGUCCAAGUACCCCUAGCUACUCGUAUUUCUCGUCCCUCUUCACUUCGAAGUCUAAAGCGUGCUUCAACAUUGUCGAGCUACCCUCUUGUGGUACAUAAAGCCGCGUAUAUGCUUUACUUGUCGGAAUACCGCACGGUAGCUGGAAAUAUGGUUUCAGUUCUUUCAGCUUUCAGCUCGCCCGAUAAACCGUGUCGCGUUGCAUAAUGAAAUUAAACAUUACAGCAAAAUCGUAGCCAGAAUAAGUCAGAAUUACAUAAUCCGCAUCCGUAAUUUUACGUGGAAGUUUUCAUCUGAAAAGAUAAACUAAUCACACGAUUAACAUAUUACUGCAAUUGAUAAAUAAUCUAUCAAUGUGUAAUUGCUGCGUUUGUAUAAUUAAUAAAUCGUGUAUAUUGAUAAAACAACCAGAUGGAAAUCUUUCGCGUCGAGAAAAUAGACUUCUCUUAAUUUCUCUUCUCCAUUAUAGAAGUUAUGACCGGAAGCGUAAGUAUCAGCAAUUAAACUGCAGAUUUCACUCAGUCGACAACGAAGACGGGAGAUAUGCAAAUUGGCGGACCUGUUGCGUUGCUUCUAUUUAAACCAGAUCCCCCUUGAUCCGUAAUCGGAUUUUCACGAUACGAGCAGCGAUUCACGAUUGAAUCCCGGGAGACGCAAUCGCGCAUUGAUCCAAUCGCUGUACGGUGACGCAAUAAUAAAAUAAAAGUAAAACAAUUACGAUAACUCUAACUUUAUAUAACAGAUAACACUUAUAUAACAGGCGAGAGAUAAUUGAUAGUACUUUAGAUAUAUAUCUUUUUUAAAUAGAUAUCGUUUUGAUAAUUAUAGCGACGUUUUUUGGCGUUGCUUAUCGGAAAGAUGAAACUGCGAUGAUAAACGCGCGCGAAAACGAAUGUAAAUAAUUAACAAAGGUAUAUCAGAAAAAUACGGAAUGCGUCACAGAAAAGGGUGGCAAAGGCACCCUUCCAAAGGGUUAUGCAACACCCUAAUAUGACAGAAAUUAUGCCACAACCUAAUACAUUAUUAUAUUAUCUUAUAUCAACCUAAUAUAUUAUUAUAUUAUCUUUUUUUCUUAAUUUAAUGUCAUUUUAACGUUAAUAUAUGUAUAAAGGAUUGACUAUUUCUAAGCUGCCAUUCUGGUUUUAUGACGUCAGAGAUGGGGAAUGUCACAUGGUAUAAACUUCCUGCAUCCUACAGCUUUAUUUUUUAUUUUUUUCCCACAAAAAUAAAUAUACAAAAUACUUUUUUAAUCUUGAAAUCUGUAAGAUGUGCUGAAAAUACUGAUAUCUGUUCGAUAGAUCUCGUAGAGCUAAAAUAAUUGAAAACGGAGAAGAAGAAAUUUAGUAGAUAGUAGAGAAUAUUUGUUUUCAUAUGCCGGCUUAAUUGCUCUAAAAUAAGCGCUGACUCAAGCCCGACGCUUCCGACUCUAGCUUAAUCCGUCUGUAACGCCGCGACACGAAGCUCCAGAUGCAGCUCGUAAUUUAAUAGCGUGCGAGAUGAGAGAUCAGCCGCGAAACGAUCGGUUCGUUCCAUGAAGAGGCGUUACGAAAGCAACUCACGUCAUUACGCCUCUCGAGAGCACGUCGGCGUCGUUAAAUAAUACGAUUAACCCAGCCACGGAGAUUGAAAACGUUCUUACGCAGCUCGUUGCACGCGUGAGACGUCGUUACAAGUUUUACAUUGAAAUUUUGUUGCUCGUUAGAUAACUCGCUAGUCGGAUUAUUCGUCGUUCGCACUAUCUGCAAUUCGUUAAUCUUCAUGCAGAGCAGCACUUGUGGCAUGUUAAAUAGAUCAUUACGUAAAUGUGAACGUGAGGUAAUUAGGGCGAUUAAUUUUGCAUUAGCGCUCAAGAGUCUACAGAGGAAUUUCCACUGGCGCGAAAAACAUUUACACGUCUUACGAGAACCGCGUUAUCGAGAGGAUAAAGUCUGAUCUACAAUGUGCUCUUUGCAUCUUGUUUCUUGAAUCUUUUCUCUUAUCUGACGCUUUCUCGACGUACCUGUUUUGAUGACAAUUGUGUUUUUCGUCUGUUUCAAAGUUCGUCAACUUUUACCUUAAAAUAGUAGUCAAGAAGCCAAAAAGCAAGAUGAAAAAAGCAAGAAACAAGAAGCAAAGACACAUUGUAGAUCAAGCUUAAUAUUGUUCCGCGACAUUGUAACUUUUUUGGGAAGGAAAAACGAGCUUGUUUGUUUAACAAGUGUUUAACAAGCGACAGAGAACGCAACGAAGAAAUAUUUGCAGAAAUUAGGGUAAUAGGAGUUAAUCUGAUCGUUUGAUCUGUCACGCCUCCUAAUCGGACGGACACAGUGAGAACAGUGUAGCGGUUGGUUGAAUAUAAUUGCUGGACACAAGGGACACUCGGAACGAUCUCACCAAGCGAAUUUGAGUCACUGAGACGAUUCUAUAUUAAAAUGAUAGAAAAUAGAAUAGAAUGUUACGAAACUCGCGUAAUUUCUUCAAACAGCAGAUUUAAAACAUUGAUACCUAAAAUAAUUGGAAAUAUGAGUUAUUUUCUGGUAUAGUAUAUUACAAGAGGAUAAAUUGAUGUAAAAAACAUGUUGCAUGUUGUGAUUGAAUCCAUAAACUUGGUAGCUUUGUUCGCUAACAAACUCAAAGCAGAAUCAGCGUCUUUCAGCUCGCUGAACCUCCAACCAGUUGGAAGCCUUUCAACAUCAUAGACGUUUAUUAAUGUCACAGAAUCGUGCACAGGUCCGUGCACUCGAAGUAUCGCGCGAUAUCGAUCGCUUUCUCUCUCUCAUAAGCGUGCAACAGGUGUCCGUUUAAUAUUCCUCACGUUGUUGUUGUGCAUUGAAAUCACUGAUUCUGUAAAAAUAUAUGAAGAGCCGCACGAGACAUCGUUGGCAUUUUCCGAAUACGUCUGUUCUUUAGUUAAUUUAUCUUAUCCAUCUUUUUUCGUAUGGAAUCGACACAUUUCUGAUAACUCAUCAAUAACGGAUCACUAUACACACAUCAUUGUUGAGUCCAUUUCUUGAAGAAAAGAUUGGAGAUAGAAACAAGAAGAGAAAAGUUGAAAUUGGAAACAUAAAUACUAUUGAUGUCAAGGAAUACGCGAAUUCGCUUGUUUAUUUCUUUCGGAUGACAAAGUUAUCGCGACGUUGUCAUUAAAUGAGAAAACGGCGGCGCAACGAUGACGCUACCUGUACAGACUUCCUCCGUGCGAGUGGAUGAAUAUGUAUGCUGAAUUUAAUUAACGAGUGAAGGUCGUAACUGUCGUCGUUGUCGUCGUCGACAGUUUGAGUUUUUUCGAUGUUGUUCGCUCUUCCGGAAGCGAAAGAGAGAGAGAAAAAAAGAGAGAGAAAAGGAGAUAUAUUAAUAAUUAGCUUUCUUUCUCUUCCUCAAAGCAGAGAAUCGUUGGCUUUAAUUGCAUUGUUAGAAAAUGCUGGAAUUUGCGAAGGCUGGGUAGCUAUUACGGUAUAGUAGACGAUAAAAUCGGGUCAGGAACACUCCUUACGUUCGAUAUUCGGUAUCCGUAAAAUGAUCGAUACGGCCGUUUCACAUGACAUUCAGGCAGAAAGGCGACGUAACGUUAUUACAUCAGACAUAAAUUGUCAUGGUGCAGAGAAGAUUAUACGCGACUAAUAAUCAUAUUCUAAACAUAACAUGUGCGAGACAAAUUAUUUUAAACCUCGUACUUAAAAUGGAUAAUUAAAUGUCAAUUCUAUGAGCUCGUUUACGUAUUGAAUAACAAGACACGUGAUUGUCAUUAUUUGUUUCUUUUAUUUUUCCCUUUCGAUAAAUCAAAGACUCAAUCUUUUAUAAACAGAGACUGAUGUCUAUAACUUUUGGAUUGCAUUAAAUUAAAAAAUUCUUUUCCAUGAAAUAGGCGAAACAAAGCGAAAAAUUUGAUAAGAUUCUUACUACAAUCUCACGGCAUUUCAAUAGCAGAAUUAUGUAAUCAUUUGUGUCACAAAUGCAGACUUCACGGAUAUCGGACACUGUUAACAAUACAUGACCAGUAGGCAGGAAGAUACCACGAGUAGUGACUGUAGAUAGCGAUGCAGGGACGUAUCGAUUUCGUCGGCGAAUGUGAACCGAAUAAGAGCGGGUGUGUCGAACAAAUUAGCCCAAUUGGACGUGGGUUGGUAGAACCAACUUUAAAAUGAUUUUUCUCAAUACAGUUAUUUUAAAAAAAACGUUAGGAAUUAAUUGCAAAGCAAUGUUGAAGUUGAAAAUAGAAUUUAUGUCUUUUUUACGCAACACACUUCGUGCUGAAGAUUCUAUGAGGGUCAUCAUAUAUAUGAUUCGGAUUAAUACGUUUAGCUUCAAUCGUUUCCAAUUAAACUUCAAUUUAAGAACGAGCAUUGUUGAUUAACGGCAAGCUCAAAGCCUUUCUUUCUUUCGGCUCCUAAUAUUCUAAAACAAAACUAUAAUAGUGCAACUGCGUGAGUAACAUGAUACACGGAUCGCCAGAACGAUUUUUGCAGCAGAAACAUCUUUUUGCACGAUUUUCAUUGUUUGAACGAAAACAGUAAAAUAUUUAGUCUGUAGCUCACUUAAUCUUCCAUCUCGAAUUUUGUAAAAAUGAAUGCUUUCGCAAUCUUUACUGUUAAUCUUAUUUAUACCCGAUGAGAUAAUUUCGAGGCAUAUUAUAAAUGAUCUGGACUUGAAGCAUGAACAAAUAGAGCGACGUUCGCGUGUAUCGCCCACACGCAGCACACGAGAUGAAGGAUUGCAGGAAGUGCCUUUACAUAAUCCUACGUGUAUCGCGGAGUGUCGAGCUUAUGCUUGCCAGCCGUAGUGCGGGAACUUUAGAAGUCCGCCUCCACGGUGAAUGGAAAAUCGCCUUGUGUGUCGUACGCAAAAAAUAUACAUUCCACAUUGCAUACCCAAUAACAUUGCAUUUCUCACAUUAGGACCUUGAUACAAGCCAACUGUUGGAGAUGGAAAAUUAGCAAAAAUGGACUUGUAAAGAACACGUCCUCAUUGCGACAAAAAAGUCUAUGUUCAGUUUUAUUAACGAUUUAUCUUCCCUUGUCGUUGCGAAACGUUAUACGUAUGUUCCAUGGAGGCUUCUAGUAAUAUAAGCAUGUACGAAGACUUGUGCUCUAUCAUUUGGACCGUCUGCUAAUACGGAAGAAGACGAUACUAGUAUUAGUAAAAGUAAACCUGAAGCGAAAGAGUCUUGUAUCGAGGCUCACAUCGAGAUUAUACUGUAAUCGGAAUCUCCUCUUCAAGUAACACCGAGUGCGUAACUUUUAGCUUUCAUUAUCGCACGGUUAACGCAAUUUGAGCGAACUCAAUUUUUUUGCAGAUGGAACCUCUCUCGUUAAAAGGUAAAAAAGAAAGAAUUUCAUGGAACUCCCGUACACGCAGGGGAUGACCACGCACGUGCAAUUACACGAAUGACAAGAGAAGGUGCGAGAGUGGUUGAAAGUGGAAAAGAACGGUGGAGAAGAGAACGCGAAAAAAAGAGUUCCACAAAGGGAGGGAGGAAGAUGAACGUGCGGCAAAAGCGAACGCGAAGAACGAUAUACGCGGAGGGAGCGGGAGGACUGGCACUGGGGACAAUAAAUGUCAGAACAACGACCUCGCGGUGGCUGGUCGGACGAGACGGCCAGACGAAACGUUGGCCAUCGCGAACAAAAAUCCUCUUCGCGACGCUUUAAUUCAAGAUCGUUCAGCUUUCUUUAGCAGAGGCGUUGUUACGAUUGUACCUUGUAAAUUAAAUUAAAAUACCUAGAAAAAGAAAUGCGAACACAUGUUUGUUUUCUCAUUUCCUCAUCUCACGAUUUGCUACGAGCGGAUUUUCCUGAUAUUGAGCAAAUCUGAGAAACAUUGCAUCACACGAUAAAUUCGGUUUAUGGCGCCUGCUGCUCACCCCCUCAGUCCUUUCCUUUCAACGAACUGGGUUACAGAAAUAUAUUUAUAGAAAAGGGGUUCUUGAAGGUGGAGAUGACUGGCAAGUUUGGAGGGAUAUUAUUGGAUCCCUCAUAACACACACCACGGUGGUGGAUCUCUGUGUCUUCUUCAAACAAAUCACCGAGCUGGUGCGUCUUAAAAAGGUAUCUUAAAAGCCAGGUCGGUUAGACGAUAAAAGACUGCGUUAAGAAUAUGUUUCCUCGGGUGGUUGUCUGGCACGCGGUUGAACCAGACUUUUAUGACCGGCUAUAUCUGUAUAUUCUAAGCGCGCGACGAUGUAAACACUUUAACAUCUAACGUUACGGAACUAGCAGUAUAUUGUUACAGUAUACCAUGGACGUUAUAAUCUAAGAAUUUUAAUUUUAAUACAGUGAACGCACGAUUUAUUAGUAACACGAAUUUUGCAGGAAAGCAUAAUUGGGAAAUGCGCAAGACAGAUGACAAAUGACAAGACAUAAUAUUUGCACAGGCGCUCAAAAUCUCAAGAAACUCUAUUCUGCCAGUCAAGAUAUUGAUGCUUUGCCGCUACGAAAAAAAUUAUCGCUACCUACGCAUUCAUUUUUCGUAGGUCGUUUCCUUUUUCAAAGUCGCGAGCUAAAUCACGCGCCUACGAUCAGACCCGCCAUCGAAUUACCAUUUCUCGUUAUUCGCGCUCAUAAUUCCGUUCCGACCGGCUUGAGAUCGUCCAACGCGCGAACGACGAAGGUCGCGAGGGGAUUCGAGGCAGUAUCGCGAGGCAAAUCGAUUUCACCCUCAGCUGCGGCUGCGACACAAAAGACGGGUCCUGAGCGAGUGCCGGGAGCGCGGCCGUUUUCAGCCGCGACGUCGUGCGAGCGAAGGAAAGCGAGCGGAAAAGGCGGGAGAGAACCCAGGGGGAAAAUAACCGGUACAGGGGGCGAACGAGCGCAAUUAGUCGUUCCACGGGAAAUGCACGCGGUAAUGAGAGACAGCCGAGCCGGCGGAUCCACGCGUACUCACGCUCUUCCGGAUAUCGCGUGAAUGCGUGCCGUUCCACCCUUUAUUUUGCAUUGUGCUCUUGACUUCGCUCGCUCAUGAACAAAGCGUGAGAGCGAGCACGAUCUUCUCGAAACAUCAAUCGUGAAACUAUCGCUCGGACUUGUUUUGCCUUUCCAACGGAAGAGAUUCGACGAGAAAGAUUUCAUGUGCGGAAAAAUGCGUUUCCUCAAAUCGCGUUAUCUGUGCGAUAUUGAAGGUAAAUAGCUAAUAGCUGAUAGUCGCUGAUAUAAAUUAUUGCUUGACAAAGUGUUGUUGAUUAAAUUUGCGCGAAGCACGCUGAAGAACGGCAAGUAUCGCGAAAAGUUUCGCGGAAGGAAGUAACGUGCCCGUAUGCACGUACGGACGCAAGAAUAUCGGUCGCUUAUCGACUUGCAUAUCCUUUAAGUCCACGUGCUCAGUGACGUACUCCCUGCGGGAGUAUAUCAUCCACUUCCGCUGAUGUCACAUCUCUUCUUCCCCUGGUAACAGUGUUUCCGCUGCAAAAAGCGGGUUUCGCGAAACUUUCCAUUCGACAUCCGGCGGUGCUCGCAUCCUGAUCGUGAAUGUUCGAUGACUACAUGAAGUAAGAUAGUAGAACCGAGUUUGGUAUCGAAAGUUUGCGGUGCCAUAAAACUAUUCUUUCUUUCUUGUUUGGAAUAUUUUUAUUUCCAUACAAAGCUGAAAUUAAAGGAGCAUUAAUUUGCUUUCAAAGAGAGAACAAUAUAUUAUCAUGUAAUACAUAUCAAGAGAUGAGUCAAAGUUUGUGUCAUACUUAUAUUAAUUUAUAAUUUAUUAUUUCAUAAUUACUCCAUUAAAAAAGAUUUAAUUUCAGAUAAAAUGAAAGCAUUAUAUUGGAAUCUUCGCAGAGGUCUUUUCGUGAGAUCCAGCCGCGUUAUCUGAGCAUCGAUCUAAGGACCGCAAAGUAACGGUGUGCGAGCAACGUCGUCGAUGCAACGUGCGAUACAAGAAAUACGUGGUGUACAAGACUCUUCAUAGACGCCGCGCAGCUGAUUACUUCCGGAAACAAACGAUAACCCGCGAUACACGACGUCGCAGUGCAUCGCCUUCUUGCCCUCCGCUCCGGCGAUCGAUUGAAAAUACCGCCACGAACGCGCCGUGGCUAUGUACGUAUCAAUACGCGGUUCGGCCGCAGUAAUUACGCGAUAACACUCGAAUUUUUUCGUGCGGUACUCCGAUUAAUAUGAAUGGAUCCCUUUGAUGCGGCGGGAGCCACGCGUUCCUCCGCCGAUAAACACUCCGAUUCGUGUACGCGAAGCUGGACCGUUCUCCAACAACGCGCGGAGUGUUUGAGGUGGACUUUCAAGCCCGUGUCAGGCUACGAAUGCAGACUGGGAUUCGAUCAAUCGGAACGUUGCUUGCUACACUUUGAUUGAAUCUUGGAGAACCGCUUACGGCGCGGCGGCCCGGAAUAUUUUACGGUCGGCAAUUACGAAAUUCGCGAGAACAAGCGAAUCGGACGAUGCGAGUUCCAGGCGAGUUAUAUAUUGGGUGCCAGCAGCAACAGCAGCAGCAGUUCGGGAGCAAAGGCUCCGCUGACGUCACGAGCUAUCUUUAAACCCGGCAUCGAGUCCAACGCUCUUCGCGACGCACUCACGCACGCACGCACGCACAUACGCAUGCACGCAACGCGCCACAUCUCGCGAGAUCAGAAGCAGACAUGAGACUCCUUGCACUGUGUGCCGCUGUGUAUCGUCGCACCAUCGUUGCUCGCAACAAUGUUCCAUUGUCUCGAUGCCUUUCUGCUUUCGCCACGAUGCGGUGUGCAUCCGUAUACUCUAGCUUGCACCCGCACGUGAAUAAGGCAGCCAUGUGCAACCAGGAUCAUGAGAGGAACUUAUGCACUCGCAAUUAAACUAGGGGAAUGCCGGGACAUUGGAAAAAGCCUGAAAUUUUUUACCAAGAUAUAAAGAAAGUGAAAAUAGAAUUAUUCUUAAAAGUAAAAUAUAUUCUUGACGGGACAGAAAAUAAAGGCAUCCUUACUCCAUGCCGAAACGGCAAUAAAAGAUUCAUGAAGAGCCCUGUAAUCGCGGUAAUGUAACCGGGAAGGAUGUGGAAAGUGGUUCCACAUGUGCGCAAACCGAACCAAAAGUACGCAAUAGCGCUUUUUCAUACUCGGGGGCCGCCGAAAAGAGCGGAUGCGUACUCGGAGAUUCGAAUGUGUAGAUUUAUUCUUACAUGUGCACAAGAGUUGCGGAUGUGCCGCGCGAAAACGUGGACGUUGAGUCAUCGUGCCGUUUUUACCCGCAAAAUUCUAGAUCUCGAAGGGUAGGCUUACUUAAUGCGCCAGACUGUUGCGCAAAAUUACAUCGUUAACUCGACCAUAACACAAUUUAACGAUGCGUAAUUCCGUGAAAAUAAGCAAAUGAGACAUUGGGACGAAUUUUGAAAAAUAUUGUAUUAAAUUUUGAAGUAUAAUAUGUUAUACGAAAACGAUUUCUCUUCGAGAAAAAGAGAGAGAGAUCUUUUUAUCUCGAAGAAAUAAAUUAAAAAAAGAAAACAAAAGCGCGCACACAUAUAUGAUAUACACAUAUGUGAGACUGCUUUAUCAUGGGUUUGCGGCAAAACCCAUGAUAAUAUGCAGAAUCGCCUCGUGCAUUAAACGGGGAAAGGACUCGCAGAAUGCAGUAACGUCCGCGUGAGUCACCGUUCUUCCUGUCUAUAAUGCGAUUUCGGUGGUCGUGACACAUAAGGAUGUCUCAUCGAUAAUCGUUUCCUCGUUAAUCCGUGAGCAGAGUGCGUUCUACGAAAGUCAACGCUUACUCGGAUUAGUGCGAUUAAUGAGUCGCCUCGAAGACAAAUUACAUGCAAUUAUUUCAAUUACUUCAAUUGAAUUAUCUAAUAAAUAAUUCAAUCAUUUCAAUUCUGAGGCACUGAUAUUCUAGCCAGAAGAAAUAUCAAAUAUCGCUAUCGAGUGUGCACUUAAUAGCGCUCUCAGAAAGCGCGAGCUUCCUCACGCCAAGAAGAACCACAUCUGCCGAACAUGGACGAUUUAAUAGCGAACCCUACGGCCAAACGAACUCACGCGGGAUUCGUGGCCUCGUUCGAACGAAACUCAAACGUAUCGCUCUCGCUCGCGUGGACGAUCGCAAAGAAACGAAAUAACGUUCUGCACGAACGAAUACCGUCGUCGGCUGGAACGACCACGCUUCGCUGUCGUAAGAGCGAUCGACCCCGAUCGAGAUUCGAUCGCGGUCUCCAAUCGAUAAUAAUAACAAUCCAUUGCACGUAUACAUUGUAGUUCCAUAAGAAAAGGAUUUUAUUAUGUCGAUCGUGAACACGAUGGAGAGAGCGAUCAUACGUAAGCGUAAAAAAAUGCGAUUCCGUCUAUAAUAUCAUGCUUCUAUCAAUUGCAAUUUAAUUGUUAAACAAUCUACCAAGAAGACCAAGGAAAUGUCUGUUUCCCUCUCACUAAUUUCGCUACGUUCGUGAUACUUAAAAUCUUGUUUAUUUCAGCUGUCUGUUACGUAAUUAUCUCAAUGUGCGCGCGUUUUACGCUUCUCCGUUUGAUUGAACGAGGAGAUCACCCCGCCGGAAGGGUCAGCCAUGCACACAAGCAAGCUUCCGGAUGUGAUGCUUACAGAAAAUGCGUAACAGUGGAUUCAUUCAAAUGACCCGUCGCGAUCGUGUGCGGCAGUCAAUUACGCGCAUCAUCUUGCGAUAUGCAUGCCGAUAUGUCGUAAAGUUCGCGUAUGAAGAGCAUUUAAAAUUAAUCUCCUAGUCAAGGAAGAUAUAUGUAUAUGGAAGAAAAUAAUCUUGAAAAGAAUAUUAAAUCAACAAUCUUAAAACUAGAAUUUCCUUCACGAAUUCAUUAUCGCACUAUUAAUCAGUAUAGAUUCAUCAAACAUGAAGCAGAUAAAGUUUAUAAUACUUAUUGCUUUAAAUAAUUGUUAUAUAAUUAUUAAUAUCAUUAUAUAUGGUUUACUCUCAUUAAUGCUACGCUAUGCUGUUAUUGAACCACACGUUAUUAUAUCUCGUAAGCAGACACGCGGCCUCGGUGAUUCGAUAUAUCCCGCCGGGUAUUGUAUGUCGAUCCCAAAGCACGCGAGACGGAAAACACAUUCGUCAUAUAAUUGAACAGCCAAUGAACGCCAGCGACAUCGUGUGCACGAGGAGCCCAGGAUCGAUCUACAUUAAGCACGACUCGUGACAAACAAACACGAUGGACCGAAGCGGUCCCGGAGUCCCUAUUAAAUCAUCAUCUGAUGCGCGACAUGCAACAUUUACUGCUCUUUCUCGCGAGCAGCGUUUCGCUUUAGAAAAUAGAUUCGAAGCACGAUACUUCAGUGGCUGCCUCGAAUCAAAUGUUAAAGCAGUCCAGCUGCGCACAAACGCAACCUUGAUCUUAAUAUCUUUCAAUUUUCUUUUCUAUAUUUUAAUGUAUGACGUAUUUGAAAUAUAGUAUAAAUUUCUAUCGUUAUAUGCACUUCUAUAUAUUGUUUUUUAAUUUAUCUAAGAUGAAGUUUGGAAUUGAUGGAAUUUCUUGAUUACAUCUUGGAACGUCAGCGCUAAAAUUGCUUAUUUUUCUUGUUGAGCAAAAAGAGGAGUGAUUCAUUCUGAUAGGUGUAUCCGUGAAUAAUCCCAUCAUCCCAUCUGGGAAUGAGCACCACACGGACGCUCUAAUUGAACGGAAUGAAUUACGGGGAUGUCGGUAGUUAUUUCAUCGAACCAACUAGCCGCACUGUCGACUUUUCGCACAUCGUCCACUCGGCUUCCCUUGUGCUAAUGCACGUAUACACUUUUCCUCUGCGAAAUACAUGAUACACAAAUAUAUUAUAUAAAUAACAUGAUACACAAAUAUAUAAGUAAAAUAUACACAUCCGGAGAUCCUACAUACAUCUAAGAAUUGAACACGCUAGAGAAUUUGAAAAGAAACAAAAGCGGAAAUUAUAAUAAAAUUCUUCAUUUUAUUCACGUAUUAUUAUUACGACUACAGUUCCAUUGCGAAAGCAACGGGAGAAACAGAAGCAUUCAGUCAUAAAGUACAUGAUAUGAGCGGAUACAUAGCAUUUGAUUCAAUUUCAGAGCGGAUCGCCGAUGUUUACGCCCCUUGAUGGAUAGUUAUAACGUUUAAUCACUCGUGACGUAACGAGAGCUCCAAGACGAAUUCCAAAGACAUUCGAUCGACAUAUCGAGCCACCUGCGCUCAUUAUCUGCGAUGUAUAAUGCGCGCGAUGAUGUACGUCAUUACGCGUUUUACUAUUAUUUCAUAAAAACGAUCGCCGACGCCGACCUCGAUUCUUAUCUUCCAACAAAAUGUCUAUCAACAGUAGGCGACUCCCGAUGCGAGCUAGUAAACGUCCGCUUUGCAAUGCAAAUUGAAUCUCCAAGAACCUCCAAGCUUCCAGCUUCAAAAUAUAGUUUACUCGAUCGUAAUUGUUCAUUAUUGCGAUCAUUUACGCGGAAAAUCGUCACGCGUGAGAGCGUGCAUCGUGAAAACUGGAUUGAGUGCGUUCAGACGCGUCGUGUGCAUCUGCAAAUGCGGAUGUUUAAACAAAAAAGCGGACCGUACGUAGGACGAUGUUUUCGCGAAUAAACUCCGUAUUACCGUGUUUCUUAUCGAACAAAGAACGCACAAGUGCUUUGAAAGGAACGUUAAGUCGAAUAAUAAAGUGGAAGAAAUACGCGCGGCAGGUACGCGUGGGUGCUAAAGCGAAAAGCCGAAGGAAAAGAAGCGAUGCUUACUCAGAGAAUUUGGAGGAGACUUAUAAGGCGCUGGGAGAGUGUUUUAAUAUUAAUUAAACAGUAUUCGAAUACCGUUAAUUCUUCUUUCCAAUUUCGUGCAUGAGAAACAGCACAUUCUUUCAGUUCAAAUAAAGUGCGUGGUACAUUUUUUAAAGCAGCGUAACUUCCUUCAGCAAUUUUGUUCUCAAGUAGAGUUCAUACUCGUACGCUGGCAUGUAGGUCAAUCGUUCUAAGUAUUUCUUGAGACAUUAAACGCAAGAAAGAGCACAUUAGCGAGGGUGCGGUCUGUUUGAUCUCAUCGUCAUCCAACCCGCGUUCUCAAGUUGUCCAUGAGGGAAGUUUCCGCAUGUAUUGUGCACAAGACCUAAAGACAUUGCGGUCUUCAAGCGAAUGUGAUCCGGACGAUCGUUUCAUCUUGCAUAAUAAAAGCAUUUUGCAUAAUAAUGAGCGACCCAGAAAGAGCUAUAUUUCCAGGAUAUCAUUUGCUCUUUAAAAAAUGCUUUAUGUGCCAAGGAUAAUAUCAGCAUAAAAAUUAUGCUAUUUAUAGGAAAAGUGUAACACAAAAAGGCAAUGUAAAAAAUUCUCUCUUGAGCAGAUAAAAUAUCAUAAAUUCCUCAGGUCUUACAAUUAGAUCCGGAAAGACUGGAUUCAUGUUAAUCAUCAGUUGAAUUCGUCGCGUCGGCGCGACUCGUCGACUUAUAAGGCCCGUCCUUCGUGCCGUUAAACCGCAAUAAUGAAGUCACUCGGUCAAGGUUCCGGAGUGGAGUUUCAUCGAAACCGUCGCCGCCAUUUCCUCGUCCGCGCGUGUCGGACCAUCCACGGCUCUCAUCAUCGCCUCGAGUAUUUUCGGUCGAGCGAGAUGUGUUGCUCCGUUCUCGGCACGUACGAAUAGAGCCUUCGUGCUCACAUCAUUUGAAGAAAAAAAAGACUCGUCCCUAUCGCAUGUGAUUCACUCGUUCAAUUAUGGAAGCUACGGAACGUCCGGCGUCUUCGAGUCCUGAAAAAUCGCACUCUCGACGGAAUUAUUCACAUCCGCUGUUACCAGAGCGCGGAAAUCCUCGAUUACUGUAAAUACGAGAGUCGCAGUUGACUCUAUGAGUACCGCAAUUACUUUUGAGUGAUCCCGCUAAACCAUCUUUGCAUAAUCAAGAAAUUUAAGAAAGAUGUUAAUCACCAAUAAAUAAUAAAACAAAUCAUUUUAAUGAAACA